Molecule: long non-coding RNA, 1025 nt
Organism: Oncorhynchus tshawytscha (Chinook salmon)
Lineage: Eukaryota; Metazoa; Chordata; Actinopteri; Salmoniformes; Salmonidae
Source: Ensembl
ACACAUGCACAUAAUAUUCCAUUCCUGUCUCAGACCAAAGCACACCAUUUUACUCAAAAGCAGUAGGUCCAGAUAGCCUUUAUUCAGACAGACAUUUUCCCCACUCCUCUCUCCAUUACUGUGUUGCACACACCAAGGUUAUAAUAGUAAACGAAAACUGAAAUGAAAAUUAAAUAAAAACAAAAAUUGGAAAAACAAUUGAGUAAACUGAAAAACGAAAACUAUACUGGAACUAUUAUCUUUGACUGCAAAACAAACUAAAAUAUAAUUAAAACCAUCAUGAAUUGUGUUCAGUUGUUGUUUUUUUCCUUCUAAACUUUGGAUAAAAAUCUAAUGUGGUUUUGAAGCUUUUUUCUCUAAUGGGGUUUUCGAACUUCUGAAUCUGGAGGGUAAAUGCUGCCAGUAGAUGGCGAUGUUUCAAAUAGGCCUAGCUGGUGCAUCGCUGCAUCGCUAGCUAACGGAAGAAAUCUGACAUUGUAGAGGGGGGUGAUUAGGUGGUCAUGAUGGGAAUGGGACCAGGUUGGGAAUUUUGUCAUGACAUCAGGGUUAACACCCUUACUCUUAUGAUAAGUAAUGGGCUUUUUAAUGACCACAGGAAGUCAGGACAUCAGUUUAUUAACAUCCCAUCCAAAAGACAGCACUCUACACAGGGCAAUGUCCCCUUCACUGCCCUGGGGAUCAGGGUGCAGGGUAGUAUGCAGGGUGUGGGACACAGCAGUGGUAUGCAGGGUGGUACACAGCAGUGGGAUGCAGGGUGGUAUGCAGUAGUGGGAUGCAGGGUGGUAUGCAGCAGUGGGAUGCAGGGUGGUAUGCAGUAGGUGGUACAGUGGGAUGCAGGGUGGUAUGCAGCAGUGGGAUGCAGGGUGGUAUGCAGUAGUGGGAUGCAGGGUGGGAUGCAGGGUGGUAUGCUGCUGGCUGGCAGCAGUGGGAUGCAGGGUGGUAGUGGGAUGCAGGGUGGUAUGCUGCUGGCUGGCAGCAGUGGGAUGCAGGGUGGUAGUGGGAUGCAGGGUGGUAUGCAGUAGUGG